Molecule: ribosomal RNA, 468 nt
Filed under: uncultured bacterium
Lineage: Bacteria
Description: partial 16S ribosomal RNA
Rfam family: Bacterial small subunit ribosomal RNA
Source: RNAcentral
GACGAACGCUGGCGGCGUGCUUAACACAUGCAAGUCGAACGGAAAGGCCCUGCUUUUGUGGGGUGCUCGAGUGGCGAACGGGUGAGUAACACGUGAGUAACCUGCCCUUGACUUUGGGAUAACUUCAGGAAACUGGGGCUAAUACCGGAUAGGAGCUCCUGCUGCAUGGUGGGGGUUGGAAAGUUUCGGCGGUUGGGGAUGGACUCGCGGCUUAUCAGCUUGUUGGUGGGGUAGUGGCUUACCAAGGCUUUGACGGGUAGCCGGCCUGAGAGGGUGCCCGGCCACAUUGGGACUGAGAUACGGCCCAGACUCCUACGGGAGGCAGCAGUGGGAAAUAUUGCACAAUGGGCGGAAGCCUGAUGCAGCAACGCCGCGUGCGGGAUGACGGCCUGCGGGUUGUAAACCGCUUUCGCCUGUGACGAAGCGUGAGUGACGGUAAUGGGUAAAGAAGCACCGGCUAACUACGUG